This 233-nucleotide ribosomal RNA is filed under the name uncultured bacterium. RNAcentral's name for it is "partial 16S ribosomal RNA". It matches the Rfam family "Bacterial small subunit ribosomal RNA", at positions 103 to 334 of the family's 1533-position model. The record is from RNAcentral.
CGGGUGAGUAACGCGUGAGGAACCUGCCUCAAAGAGGGGGACAACAGUUGGAAACGACUGCUAAUACCGCAUAAGCCCACAGCUCGGCAUCGAGCAGAGGGAAAAGGAGCAAUCCGCUUUGAGAUAGCCUCGCGUCCGAUUAGCUAGUUGGUGAGGUAACGGCCCACCAAGGCGACGAUCGGUAGCCGGACUGAGAGGUUGAACGGCCACAUUGGGACUGAGACACGGCCCAG